AUUGAACGCUGGCGGCAUGCCUUACACAUGCAAGUCGAACGGCAGCACGGGGCAACCUGGUGGCGAGUGGCGAACGGGUGAGUAAUGCAUCGGAACGUACCUUUCAGUGGGGGAUAACGUAGCGAAAGUUACGCUAAUACCGCAUAUUCUGUGAGCAGGAAAGCAGGGGAUCGCAGGACCUUGCGCUGAUUGAGCGGCCGAUGUCAGAUUAGCUAGUUGGUGAGGUAAAGGCUCACCAAGGCGACGAUCUGUAGCGGGUCUGAGAGGAUGAUCCGCCACACUGGAACUGAGACACGGUCCAGACUCCUACGGGAGGCAGCAGUGGGGAAUUUUGGACAAUGGGGGCAACCCUGAUCCAGCCAUGCCGCGUGAGUGAAGAAGGCCUUCGGGUUGUAAAGCUCUUUCGGCCGGGAAGAAAUCGCACGGGCUAAUACCCUGUGUGGAUGACGGUACCGGAAUAAGGAGCACCGGCUAACUACGUGCCAGCAGCCGCCGUAA
Molecule: ribosomal RNA, 498 nt
Filed under: uncultured bacterium
Lineage: Bacteria
Description: partial 16S ribosomal RNA
Rfam family: Bacterial small subunit ribosomal RNA
Source: RNAcentral